UACAGAGGGGGCAAGCGUUGUUCGGAAUUACUGGGCGUAAAGGGCGCGUAGGCGGCCUUCUAAGUCGAACGUGAAAUCCCCGGGCUCAACCCGGGAACUGCGUCCGAUACUGGAAGGCUUGAAUCCGGGAGAGGGAUGCGGAAUUCCAGGUGUAGCGGUGAAAUGCGUAGAUAUCUGGAGGAAUACCGGUGGCGAAGGCGGCAUCCUGGACCGAGAUUGACACUGAUGAGCGAAAGCUAGGGGAGCAAACGGG
Molecule: ribosomal RNA, 253 nt
Filed under: uncultured bacterium
Lineage: Bacteria
Description: partial 16S ribosomal RNA
Rfam family: Bacterial small subunit ribosomal RNA
Source: RNAcentral